AAAGAUUAAGCCAUGCACGUGUAAGUACACGCCUUUAUACAGCGAAACUGCGAAUGGCUCAUUAAAUCAUAUGUGAUUUCUUAGAUCGUACUGUCCGUAAUGGACUAAGGAUAACUGUGGUAAUUCUAGAGCUAAUACAUGCACUCAGUUCUGACCCUAGGGGAAGAACGCUCAUAUUAGACCAAGACCUACCGUUGGGGCAACCCUUCGUAGUCUAGGUGACUCUGGAUAUUAAUCAGUCAAUCGAAUGGCCUCGUGCUGUCGAUGUAUCUUUCAAGCGUAUGCCCUAUCACCUGUCGACGUUAGGUUAACAGCCUAUCGUGGGGGUAACGGGUAGCGGGGAAUCAGGGUUCGAUUCCGGAGAGGGCGCAUGAGAAAUGGCGACCACAUCCAAGGAAGGCAGCAGGCGCGCAAAUUACCCAAUGCCGACACGGCGAGGUAGUGACGAAAAAUAACAAUACGGGACUCUUUUGAGGCCCCGUAAUUGGAAUGAGCACAAUCUAAAUCCUUUAGCGAGGAUCUAUUGGAGGGCAAGUCUGGUGCCAGCAGCCGCGGUAAUUCCAGCUCCAAUAGCGUAUAUUAAAGUUGCUGCAGUUAAAAAGCUCGUAGUUGGAUCUCGGGGUACCUGGUCUAGCCGGUAUAGCUCACGCUAAAACUGGUCUGACCCCCCAACGUGAGGUAUUCGUCUCCGGGUGCACUUCAUUGGGUGCUCGUGAGGGGCCUCGUAGUUACUGUGAAAAAAUUAGAGUGUUCAAAGCAGGCUCAUAUGUUCGGAUAGUCGUGCAUGGAAUAACUGAAUACGUGACUGGCGCUUUUCAGUUGGUCUCGGCGACUGGUCAAAUGAUUAAGAGGGACUGCCGGGGGCAUUGGUAUGGCGGGGUUUAGAGGUGAAAUUCUUGGAUCCUCGCCAGACCAACAAAAGCGAAAGCAUUUGCCAAGAAUGUCUUCAUUAAUCAAGAACGAAAGUCAGAGGUUCGAAGACGAUCAGAUACCGUCGUAGUUCUGACCAUAAACGAUGCCAGCUGGACAUUGGCUUGAGUUGUUUUUCGACCGAGCCAUUGUCCCCCGGGAAACCUAUAAGCGAUCGGGUUCCGGGGGUAGUAUGGUUGCAAAGCUGAAACUUAAAGGAAUUGACGGAAGGGCACCACCAGGAGUGGAGCCUGCGGCUUAAUUUGACUCAACACGGGGAAACUCACCCGGCCCGGACACUGCAAGGAUUGACAGAUUGAUAGCUCUUUCUCGAUUCGGUGGAUGGUGGUGCAUGGCCGUUCUUAGUUGGUGGAGUGAUUUGUCUGGUUAAUUCCGAUAACGAACGAGACUCUGGCCUACUAACUAGUACGCGUAUCUGGGAUUCCAGGUACGUAUAAACUUCUUAGAGGGACAAGUGGCGCUUAGCCACACGAGAUUGAGCAAUAACAGGUCUGUGAUGCCCUUAGAUGUUCGGGGCCGCACGCGCGCUACACUGAAAGAAUCAGAGGGUACGAUUCCUAACCUGAGAGGGUCGGGCAAUCCGUAGAACCUCUUUCGUGCUAGGGACUGGGGCUUGUAAUUCUUCCCCAUGAACGAGGAAUUCCUAGUAAGCGCGAGUCAUCAGCUCGUGUUGAUUACGUCCCUGCCCUUUGUACACACCGCCCGUCGCUACUACCGAUUGGAUGGUUUAGUGAGAUCCUUCGACCGGCCCCUUUGCUUGAUCGCUCUCGCAGC
Molecule: ribosomal RNA, 1704 nt
Filed under: Hydroides elegans (calcareous tube worm)
Lineage: Eukaryota; Metazoa; Annelida; Polychaeta; Sabellida; Serpulidae
Description: SSU rRNA
Rfam family: Eukaryotic small subunit ribosomal RNA
Source: RNAcentral